GAUGAAGAACGUAGCGAAAUGCGAUAAGUAAUGUGAAUUGCAGAAUUCAGUGAAUCAUCGAAUCUUUGAACGCACAUUGCGCCCGCCAGUAUUCUGGCGGGCAUGCCUGUUCGAGCGUCAUUUCAACCAUCAAGCCCCCGGCUUGUGUUGGGGACCUGCGGCUGGCGCAGGCCCUGAAAACCAGUGGCGGGCUCGCUAGUCACUCCGAGCGUAGUAAUACAUCUCGCUCAGGGCGUGCUGCGGGUUCCGGCCGUUAAAAAGCCUUAUUUACCCAAGGUUGACCUCGGAUCAGGUAGGAAGACCCGCUGAACUUAAGCAUAUCAAUAAGCGGAGGA
RNAcentral lists this unclassified non-coding RNA (335 nucleotides) under soil metagenome. RNAcentral describes it as "partial contains 5.8S ribosomal RNA, internal transcribed spacer 2, and large subunit ribosomal RNA". The stretch from base 1 to 120 matches the Rfam family "5.8S ribosomal RNA", at positions 35 to 154 of the family's 154-position model. The record is from RNAcentral.